AGGGAAUAUUGCGCAAUGGGCGAAAGCCUGACGCAGCGACACCGUGUGUAGGAUGAAGAUCUUAGGAUUGUAAACUACUGUCAGUUGAAGAAGAAGGUAUGAAAGUUAAGAGCUUGAUUAUUGACGGUAUUCAACGAGGAAGUCUCGGCUAACUCCGUGCCAGCAGCCGCGGUAAGACGGGGGAGGCAAGCAUUGUCCGGAAUUAUUGGGCGUAAAGAACACGUAGGCGGUUUUUAAAGUCAAUUGUGAAAACCUUGGGCUCAACCCGAGGAUUGCAGUUGAUACUGGAAAACUAGAGUACAGUAGAGGAAAGUGGAAUUCCUGGUGUAGCGGUGAAAUGCGCAGAUAUCAGGAAGAACACCAGUGGCGAAAGCGGCUUUCUGGACUGUUACUGACGCUGAGGUGUGAAAGCUAGGGGAGCGAAC
Molecule: ribosomal RNA, 425 nt
Filed under: uncultured bacterium
Lineage: Bacteria
Description: bacterial SSU rRNA
Rfam family: Bacterial small subunit ribosomal RNA
Source: RNAcentral